RNAcentral lists this microRNA precursor (109 nucleotides) under Mus pahari (shrew mouse). RNAcentral's name for it is "miRNA (MGP_PahariEiJ_G0007104.1)". It matches the Rfam family "mir-692 microRNA precursor family". Lineage: Eukaryota; Metazoa; Chordata; Mammalia; Rodentia; Muridae. The record is from RNAcentral.
GCUGGCAGGGCCACAACCAGUGCAGACUGGUGUGCCCCAGACAUCUCUGGGCAAGUAUCUCUUUGAGCGGCUCACUCUCAAGCACGACUAGGAGGCCUCUGAGCCUUCC